AUAUCUUCAUGCAGCCUUAUUACCUGACAUUUCAAAACAAGAAAAACAAAACCCUUCGCUUUCCACCACCAAUCCUCCUCUCUCCUCCUCACUCGUCACCACCGACCUUCCUCUCUUUCUCAAGGCGGCAAUUUCUGAAAAUGUCGACGACGACACCACUUUACGGGUUGCAGCUGUUACUGCUUGACACUUUGUUGCUGCUGCUGGGCCACCUCGCUACUGCUACCGCCUACCCAACGUUUCUGCUUCACGGUUACAGUUCCAAUAACUCAAAUCCUUCCUUAAUUCGCAUCUCAUCAGGGAAUUUUCAGAGGUUGCCAUUAUCAAAAAUCGAAACCAAUUUUGGGGUUUUUUCGUUUUUGAGGUUUAAGGGCAUGAAUUAGAACAAAAUUAGGUACAAGUUAGGAAUGCAAAUGAAGUAAACAAGCUGUUCGCGAGUGUAUCGGCUCAUUGACGCUCCUAGUUUCAUCCUUAGAGAACAAGAGCCUAACGGGUACAACACCUUAUGCAAGUGUUAAUACUCAUCUUGGAAUUGAUGCCUAGGAAUCUAACUAUUUGCAAACAAUUGAAGAAUAAUAUGAGGAAGAAAAAUGGAUGACACUAACAGAGACUGAGGCUUUCAUUAAAUAUCAUUUUUUCUUUCUCUUCUAGUUUCCAAUUCCUGUUUAGUGUAACACUUGUGAACAACCAAAGAGAAAUGUUAGUUUAUUAAGGUGUUUUUGUAAAUGACAAUUAUAUUUAUCUAUAUAGUAACUUUUUAUUGAUU
Long non-coding RNA from Beta vulgaris subsp. vulgaris (sugar beet), 766 nucleotides. RefSeq lists it as uncharacterized. NCBI's taxonomy places the organism in Eukaryota, Viridiplantae, Streptophyta, Magnoliopsida, Caryophyllales, Amaranthaceae. The transcript has 4 exons. The record is from RefSeq and is a predicted model, not a curated record.